UAGUUCACUGGUAGAACAUGUGCUUAGCAUGCACAAGGUCCUGGGUUCAAUCCUCAG
Molecule: transfer RNA, 57 nt
Filed under: Heterocephalus glaber (naked mole-rat)
Lineage: Eukaryota; Metazoa; Chordata; Mammalia; Rodentia; Bathyergidae
Rfam family: tRNA
About the family: Transfer RNA (tRNA) molecules are approximately 80 nucleotides in length. Their secondary structure includes four short double-helical elements and three loops (D, anti-codon, and T loops). Further hydrogen bonds mediate the characteristic L-shaped molecular structure. tRNAs have two regions of fundamental functional importance: the anti-codon, which is responsible for specific mRNA codon recognition, and the 3' end, to which the tRNAs corresponding amino acid is attached (by aminoacyl-tRNA synthetases). tRNAs cope with the degeneracy of the genetic code in two manners: having more than one tRNA (with a specific anti-codon) for a particular amino acid; and 'wobble' base-pairing, i.e. permitting non-standard base-pairing at the 3rd anti-codon position.
Source: Rfam by way of RNAcentral